AAGAGCCCAAGGGCAACUGACGUUGAAAACCUAUUUGGUUUUCGAUGAGGAAAGUCCCCUCUCCUGAGGAAUCUGGCCCGUUGCAAAACGGGAUCCUGAGAAGGAUGGAUAUGGCACAGAAACGGCACAGCCAUGGUAAAGGAUGAUUUCAUGCGAAUGACGUUUCCAUGGAAUUGUUGAAACGGCCAUCCCCAGAGGAGCAAACCCAAACAAACGUGGUGAUAGUCCUCUUGAACGUUGGGUAGGGUGCAUUAGUCGAAUGUUGCCUGAAACAGAAAGGGGCUUACUAUGGGCACUU
RNAcentral lists this RNase P RNA (298 nucleotides) under Thermoplasmata archaeon. RNAcentral describes it as "RNase P RNA component". It matches the Rfam family "Archaeal RNase P". Rfam says of the family: Ribonuclease P (RNase P) is a ubiquitous endoribonuclease, found in archaea, bacteria and eukarya as well as chloroplasts and mitochondria. Its best characterised activity is the generation of mature 5'-ends of tRNAs by cleaving the 5'-leader elements of precursor-tRNAs. Lineage: Archaea; Methanobacteriati; Thermoplasmatota; Thermoplasmata. The record is from RNAcentral.